UGUGGGCGAGAAAGGAAAACUCAGAAGGAAAGGGGGGUAUUGGGGGAGGUGAGGGGCUGGCAGCCAGCUGUCUGAGCCCAGGCUUGUCCCCUGCCGGAUCUUGGCUCUUAUGACCCCAGAAAAGAUGCGCCUUCACUCUGCCGCAUCUUGAGAAAGACCAGUUGAAUGAAGAAACCGAUACUCAUCCCUAUGAACCAAGAGCCAAAAGUCCAAGCCCACUCGUGUUGGGUCUGAUGAAGCAGAGCGGAGGGUCCGUCCGCGGGUGUGAAGAGCGACUUGAGACCAUGACCAGAUCUUAGAUGAGCAUGUUUCUUGGUGUAACACCCGCACACAGAAGGCAAGGAUCUGUCCUAAGGCCACAACAGAAGGAUGAGUGCUGACGUGGUUCGGGGCCGGCGAUUGUUUAAAGUAUCGAAGACCUAGGUAAUCCGUCUGUAAGGAGCUAAUUUUAAAACACGGCCCCGGAAAUUAGCACUCCACACGCCGUUAGGACGACAGUUGGCUUGCUGGUUUGUUUGUUUUUAAGACAGGGUCUCAUAGCCACCUGCAACACUCUCCCAGGCUGGCUUUGAACUCUCCAUCUUCCUGUCUCUGCUUCCUGAGCGGAUUACAGGCUAAAUAUCCAAAAUACUUUAUAAGAAAGCCCAAGUAUGCCCUGCCAGCCAACACUUGGCAGCGCAGAGGACUGAGCCCCAGAACUUGGGCAUGUAGAAAAGUGCUGGUCUGUCAAGUCAUAGCCCAACCACGGGGGUCUGGAGACAGGGCUUCCAUGUGUAGCUCUGGCUGUGAGCUCGCGGAGGCCGAAGCAGUCAACAGCCUGACCAACACAUCAAGGUUCAGGCUAGCCUUGUCUCUAUAGUGAGACCUUGCCUCGAACAAAAUAAACACUGCGUACUUACAAGGCGCAGGACACCACACGGACACUAGAGAGCCUGUGGAGAAGGGUUACCAGGCGUCAGCGGUGAAAAGGUGUGGAGAGAAGGGAAGGCCUUGUGCAUACCUUGACGUUUGAGCAGAGACCAGAAUGAGGCGUGAACAUCUUGCUGCCAAGGUUGGAGAGGUGUGAAGGGCACUAGGAAAAACGGUAAUAACCUCCCCGAGGCCAAAGAUCCAGAAUGAUCCAGAUACUGAUCUGAGGCUCAGCAGGUACCAGCACUUGCUGCUCAAUCAUGCGUUUGGAACCCAGCAACCAUGUAUCAAGCCAGGCACCCCCAAACCCCUGUAACUGCAGCCCGAAGGUGCUGGUAACUCGCCAGCCUCCAGCCUAGCCCAGAAAGUGUGAGCCCCAGGCUGAAGGAGAGACCCUGCCUCAAAGACCUGGAUGGAGACUCGAGAGAGGAGGCACCAACACUUCAUUUUGGUGUGCACAGAAUGAAAAUCCCAAUCGUUUGAUUUUACCAGCGAAGACUCAGGAGCCAGAUGCUGUGGUGAAAACCUGCUAGCUCAGAGAGGCAGAGAAAGCACCCAGCUGAUCUAACUCAGCCUACAGCCGGAAGGAAAAAGACAAAAGCUAAAAGACAAAAAAAAAGCCCAAAGCCAAAAGCUUGCUAGCUCAGCUGAUAGCACAGGAGGAAAAGGCCUCCUAACUCACCAAAAGAAAGCCAAAAGCUGAAAGCCAAAGAGCUCCUUCUCCACGCUGUCUUAAACCUCUUCUCUCAAAGCCCCUCCUUUCUACGGAUCUCUGUCAGCUGGUUUCUUGCUCUGCCUUUUGACCUAAGGUUAACUUUAUUAAAUCUGUGUAC
Molecule: long non-coding RNA, 1742 nt
Organism: Psammomys obesus (fat sand rat)
Lineage: Eukaryota; Metazoa; Chordata; Mammalia; Rodentia; Muridae
Exons: 3
Source: RefSeq, a predicted model, not a curated record